AGUAUCAUGGCUCAGGAUGAACGCUAGCUACAGGCUUAACACAUGCAAGUCGAGGGGAAACGACAUCGAAAGCUUGCUUUUGAUGGGCGUCGACCGGCGCACGGGUGAGUAACGCGUAUCCAACCUGCCCACCACUUGGGAUAACCUUGCGAAAGUAAGACUAAUACCCAAUGACAUCCCACGAAGACAUCUGAAUGGGAUUAAAGAUUUAUCGGUGAUGGAUGGGGAUGCGUCUGAUUAG
Molecule: ribosomal RNA, 241 nt
Filed under: uncultured bacterium
Lineage: Bacteria
Description: partial 16S ribosomal RNA
Rfam family: Bacterial small subunit ribosomal RNA
Source: RNAcentral